Molecule: ribosomal RNA, 254 nt
Filed under: uncultured bacterium
Lineage: Bacteria
Description: partial 16S ribosomal RNA
Rfam family: Bacterial small subunit ribosomal RNA
Source: RNAcentral
UACAGAGGUCCCGAGCGUUGUUCGGAUUUACUGGGCGUAAAGGGCGCGUAGGCGGCCUCCGCAAGUCAGUUGUGAAAUCUCCGAGCUUAACUCGGAAAGGUCAACUGAUACUGCAGGGCUAGAGUGCGGAAGGGGCAACUGGAAUUCUUGGUGUAGCGGUGAAAUGCGUAGAUAUCAAGAGGAACACCUGCGGCGAAGGCGGGUUGCUGGGCCGACACUGACGCUGAGGCGCGAAAGCUAGGGGAGCGAACGGG